Molecule: transfer RNA, 61 nt
Filed under: Ictidomys tridecemlineatus (thirteen-lined ground squirrel)
Lineage: Eukaryota; Metazoa; Chordata; Mammalia; Rodentia; Sciuridae
Description: Spermophilus tridecemlineatus (thirteen-lined ground squirrel) tRNA
Rfam family: tRNA
About the family: Transfer RNA (tRNA) molecules are approximately 80 nucleotides in length. Their secondary structure includes four short double-helical elements and three loops (D, anti-codon, and T loops). Further hydrogen bonds mediate the characteristic L-shaped molecular structure. tRNAs have two regions of fundamental functional importance: the anti-codon, which is responsible for specific mRNA codon recognition, and the 3' end, to which the tRNAs corresponding amino acid is attached (by aminoacyl-tRNA synthetases). tRNAs cope with the degeneracy of the genetic code in two manners: having more than one tRNA (with a specific anti-codon) for a particular amino acid; and 'wobble' base-pairing, i.e. permitting non-standard base-pairing at the 3rd anti-codon position.
Source: Rfam by way of RNAcentral
UGUGGCUCAGCAAUAGAGUGCUUGCCUACGAUGCAUGAAGCCCUGGGUUCAAUCCCCAGCA